AUGGAAUUGCUGGGUCAAAUGGUAUUUUUGACUUUAGGUCUUUGAGGAAUUGCCACAUUGUCUUCCACAAUGGUUUAACUAAUUUACACUCUCACCAAUAGUAUAUAAGCAUUCAUUUUUCACCACAACUUUGCCAGCAUCUCUUAGUUUUUGACUUUUACAUGUUAAUAAUAG
Long non-coding RNA from Sapajus apella (tufted capuchin), 174 nucleotides. RefSeq lists it as uncharacterized. Lineage: Eukaryota; Metazoa; Chordata; Mammalia; Primates; Cebidae. The record is from RefSeq and is a predicted model, not a curated record. The transcript is spliced from 3 exons.